CUAAAGCAACAGGGGCAUCCGGCAUCCGCCGGGUUGAGACGUACCCUCUGAACCUGACCCGGCUCAUACCGGCGGAGGAAGUUGCGCGUCGGCUGCC
RNAcentral lists this non-coding RNA (97 nucleotides) under Jannaschia donghaensis. Its description in RNAcentral is "TPP sequence". It matches the Rfam family "TPP riboswitch aptamer (THI element)". Rfam says of the family: Vitamin B(1) in its active form thiamin pyrophosphate (TPP) is an essential coenzyme that is synthesised by coupling of pyrimidine and thiazole moieties in bacteria. The previously detected thiamin-regulatory element, thi box was extended, resulting in a new, highly conserved RNA secondary structure, the THI element, which is widely distributed in eubacteria and also occurs in some archaea. Lineage: Bacteria; Pseudomonadati; Pseudomonadota; Alphaproteobacteria; Rhodobacterales; Roseobacteraceae. The record is from Rfam by way of RNAcentral.